This 549-nucleotide ribosomal RNA is filed under the name uncultured Glomus. RNAcentral describes it as "SSU rRNA". It matches the Rfam family "Eukaryotic small subunit ribosomal RNA", at positions 548 to 1098 of the family's 1831-position model. The record is from RNAcentral. Lineage: Eukaryota; Fungi; Glomeromycota; Glomeromycetes; Glomerales; Glomeraceae.
UUGGAGGGCAAGUCUGGUGCCAGCAGCCGCGGUAAUUCCAGCUCCAAUAGCGUAUAUUAAAGUUGUUGCAGUUAAAAAGCUCGUAGUUGAACUUCGGGAUCAAUGAGUUGGUCGUGCCAUUGGUAUGAACUGGCUUUAUUGGUUCUCACCUUCUAAUGAACCAUAAUGUCAUUCAUUUGAUGUUUUGGGGAAUUAGGACUGUUACCUUGAAAAAAUUAGAGUGUUUAAAGCAGGCUCACGCUUGAAUACAUUAGCAUGGAAUAAUGAAAUAGGACAUCGCAUUCUAUUUUGUUGGUUUCUAGGAUCGAUGUAAUGAUUAAUAGGGAUAGUUGGGGGCAUUAGUAUUCAAUUGUCAGAGGUGAAAUUCUUGGAUUUAUUGAAGACUAACUACUGCGAAAGCAUUUGCCAAGGAUGUUUUCAUUAAUCAAGAACGAAAGUUAGGGGAUCGAAGACGAUCAGAUACCGUCGUAGUCUUAACCAUAAACUAUGCCGACUAGGGAUCGGAUGAUGUUGAUUUUUUAAUGACUCAUUCGGCGCCUUACGGGAAAC